GAUACAUUGACGGUGGUGUGUC
This 22-nucleotide non-coding RNA is filed under the name Arabidopsis thaliana (thale cress). The record is from RNAcentral. Lineage: Eukaryota; Viridiplantae; Streptophyta; Magnoliopsida; Brassicales; Brassicaceae.